AGCGAACGCUGGCGGCAGGCUUAACACAUGCAAGUCGAGCGGGCGUAGCAAUACGUCAGCGGCAGACGGGUGAGUAACGCGUGGGAACGUACCCUUUGGUUCGGAACAACUCAGGCAAACUUGUGCUAAUACCGGAUAAGCCCUUACGGGGAAAGAUUUAUCGCCGCAAGAUCGGCUGGCGUCUGAUUAUCUAGUUGGUGAGGUAACGGCUCACCAAGGCGACGAUCAGUAGCUGGGCUGAGAGGAUGAGCAGACACAUUGGUACUGAGACACGGCAGAAACUCCUACGGGAGGCGGGAGUGGGGAAUAGUGGAAAAUGGGGGCAACGAUGAUCGAGCCAUGCCGGGAGAGUGAUGAAGGCAGGAGGGUUGUAAAGCGCUUGUGUGCGGGAAGAUAAUGACGGUACCGCAAGAAUAAGCCACGGCUAACUUCGUG
RNAcentral lists this ribosomal RNA (435 nucleotides) under uncultured bacterium. Its description in RNAcentral is "partial 16S ribosomal RNA". It matches the Rfam family "Bacterial small subunit ribosomal RNA", at positions 29 to 507 of the family's 1533-position model. The record is from RNAcentral.